GCAAAGCUUCUCUCUCUUCCAGCAUCUUCAACCCGUAAAAUAGAGCUAGGAUUUCCGCCUGCAAGGGGGAAGACGCGUAGACCUCUUUGGCGAACCUAUCGAUCAAGAUCCCGUCAGAAUCACGAAGAAUUCCAGCAACCACGUUGGGCGAAUCGAUUGCUGUCCACGAGCCGUCAACGUUCAUCUUCAGAUUUGGCGAUUGCGGUACCAUCCAGGUUGCAGUGCCUCAGGUUGGCCUUUGGUCUUCUGGAAUACGAAGUUGUUCCGAUUUUUCCAAACUUGCCAGAGGACUUCAACAACUAGUUCGCGAUCUGGUGCAUGCGACUCGGCUACAAGUGAAUGAAUAUGUGCUAAACUGUUUCAGGGUAUUUGGAGAAAAGAGGGCACACUGGAUCAGGGGGAAUUGCCAGGUGCCAGAGAUUUGUCCACAAUCUGCGAGGAGGCUGGUAGGAGGAGGAGGCUCUGUUUCGGUCCUGUGUUAUCUUGAAGAUUGACAUGACGUAUUGCGGCAAUGCUUGCACAACAGUCUUGACCAAGAUUUCUUUCCCGGCUUUCGCCAGUGAUUUAAGAUGGGCUGGAGGUUUCUUGGUCCCACCGAAUCAUAGAGAGCUCGGAAGUAGUCCGUGACGUGCUGCUUGAGAGUCUAAGGAUCCCUGGUCCAGUGAUGUUCAUCAAUCUUCAACAUGGGUAUAAAGAGAGAAGGAGGGGGCCGUGGUCCGACCCUACCUAAAGCAAAGAUUUCAGCAUUUGGGAAGGUAUAGAGAGUAUCAUUGAAAUCCCCCAUACACAACCACGCAAGGGAAAACGGGGGCGCUUUACUGUAUUCUCUAUUCUUUUUCCCAUUUGACGCAACAGAACAAGAACGGGCAAAGACAACUUGGUACAUCUCUGGGAACAAGCACGAAUUCAGGCCUGUGCAGGAAGGGAAAAUAAUCAAAGAAGAAAGGGAUGGUCAUGAAGUGAGUGAAGGGAUGGAAUUAAUAUAAUCAUUGAACGUGGACAGAGAUUCAGGCCUGUGGAGGUACCGUUUGGCAAUCAAAGCUACUUCUAUGACGAGAGAGGACGUCACUUCAUAUAUUCAUCUUUUGCAUACUCCAUCUUCUUCAACCUAUGCUCGAAAAUUUUUCUCAUUUCAAAUUCCAGAUUUCAACCAUAGUUCUCUCUCUCCUCCAACUCCAACGGUCCCUACUGUCAAAGCUCCCAGUCUAUUCAACUAUUGUCCCGAGAUGUACAUUAUUGGCUUCGAUGGUCUUCAGGAGUUGGAAGAGUAAGGCAAUCACUCUCUUCAAUUUUGGGACGACCCUGAGGAUGGCUCUGCUCAGGUUAUUCUUCUUCCUUACUUCAAAUCUCUUCACGUUCCUCAUCUUAUGAUCAGUGCUUUCCCAGUCAUUCUCAAGAGAUCCUUUCCAUUCACCAGGAUUCCAUUCUAGCAUAUGUUUGGUCGAAGAAAAGUUGUAGAUUUAGGUCUUGUUCCAGUUUUGGACUCUAAAUUCUAUCGGUGGUACCUGAGGAUAAAACCUCACAUAAUAAAUCUCCAGGAAGGAGCCCGAAUCGACUUAGCUUUAGAAUUUUCUUGCUUCGACUUAAUCCUAGAACCUGGCUUGUUAGGUUUUCCUUUUACCUUCUGCUCUUCCUCUGCUAAUUGGGCCUCUAUGGACCACCCUCCUCGACAUAUUUGCAAUUACUGGUUUCCCUCCUCGGGGUGCAAAGGCUCAUGAGAAGAGGUCUAAUCCAUUCAUCGAAAAUUUCGUCCGCUUGAUUUUCAUAUGUAGGAAAUAGACAAGGUAACCUUGUGAGCUUGAUAUCAUUCAUAAUGGAUAACAUAUUCACUUGCC
Long non-coding RNA from Eucalyptus grandis, 1835 nucleotides. RefSeq lists it as uncharacterized. The record is from RefSeq and is a predicted model, not a curated record. Lineage: Eukaryota; Viridiplantae; Streptophyta; Magnoliopsida; Myrtales; Myrtaceae. The transcript has 9 exons.